Molecule: non-coding RNA, 5562 nt
Organism: Homo sapiens (human)
Lineage: Eukaryota; Metazoa; Chordata; Mammalia; Primates; Hominidae
Source: RefSeq, a predicted model, not a curated record
GGGGUGACUGGAGUGGCUUGUCAAUUUGGAUGAAACUCACACCCCGCCGACACAGGAUGCAAGAGUGGCUCGCCAAGUCGGCUAGGGAACUGGAGGUGGCAAGAGUGGCUCGCCACCCCAACUGGGAACUAGAGGGGGCGAGAGUGGCUUGCCACCCCAGUUACAAACAUGGGAACUGAAGGUGUGUGGAAGUGUGUGAAUGAAAAGGCCUCAUUAGGCGCAUCAGCUGCGAAGUGAAGAGUCACAGAUCCCUUAGUGUAGACUGUGUGCUCCGAGAAAGGGUGGGGCCGACUAAGACUAGUGGUGAUCUGCAUAUGGCUAAUAGGAGCUGCCCUACAGCUCAGAGUUGCAGCAGGAAUAAGGACCUCUCCAAAGCCAAGCAGCAUCUGAAAACCCCCAUAAUAGGAGACAGUGUGGUUGGUCGAAACGAGAGGAAGAGUGAGUAGGCAAGAGUGAAUGUGCUGCGUUGUAAAGGGAGGAAUGGGAGGAAAGUCAUCAAAACAUCAAAACUUACUCUGUGGGAGUGCAUGUUACGGAACCUUAAGAAAGGUUUUGCAGGGGAUUAUAGAGUUAACCCCCUCAGAGGUUGAGAACUCUGGGUGAAUUAGAAUUGCCCUCUUCUGGUGUUGGAUGGCUGACCGAAGGAACUACAGACAGGGAACAAUUGGCCAUGUAUUUAAGGUGGUGACAAGGGUUGGAGAACAGCCAGUGUACCUGGAUCAAUUUCUUUAUAUUGACUCAUAGUUAAAUAUAAUAUAGCCAAACCCAGCAUUGAUCCAGGCCUGUUUAACAGCUUAUUGCAAAAAAAACCAAAAGUGAAAAUAAGAGCAGCUUUGCCGGCAGACACAGAGUUAAAAGGGAAUCCCAGAGACAGCAAGAGAAGCCAGUUUUACAGGAGCCACCAAAGGUAACAGAAAUUCUUCCUCCAUAUAUCCCAGCCUACCCCCGCUUUACCGAGGCCGACAGCCCCCCCAGGAACCAGAUUCAGGAGCUAACAUGCCCCAGGUCUCACCUCGAAGGGGAGGAUCAGAGCCUUGAGAGGCCAGGAAGGAGGUCAAGAUAGUCAAGUGGGCCAUCUCAGAUCUGGCCGUGCUGGAGCUAUGCAAAUGCCUCUCAGGGGGACACGAGGACCUAUCUAUUAUGAUGACCAGGAUCCCAACUAGGACCCAGAGGAUGAAACUCAGCUUCAGCGUUUGCAGAGGUACCAAGAGGCACUUCUGCAGGGGCUACGAGUUGGUAGAAGGAAAGCAAUGAAUAUAAAGAAGAUUUCAGAAGUGCUUCAAGGAGCUGAUGAGAGCCUAAGUCAGUUUUAUAAGAGACUCUGUGAAGCAUUCCGGCUUUGUACCCCAUUUAACUGUGAGGCUGCUGAACAUCAGCCUAUGGGGAAUACUUCAUUCGUAGGGCAAGCCCAGGGUGACAUCAAGUGGAAGCUGCAGGCAUGAAUACCACCCAGUCCAUAAAAGUGGCCACCACGGUGUAUGUUAACUGUGACCAAGGAACAAAACGGGAAAGAGCAAAAGCCACAAGCGCGGCAGCUAAGCACGCCCACCAUUAAGUUCCUCUCCCCAGCCCGGCUCUAUCUGGAAAAAGAAGGGGCCAGGGACUUGGCGCCAGGAGAAGAGCAAAGGAAAAGGAAAGGAGAAAGUAACAGUAAGUGUGAGAAGGGAAAGAAGAAAGUAAAAAGGAAAUCAGAAAAAAACAGGAGAGACAGGCGGCAGUGCACGGGGGCGGGGCCCGUGCCGUUGUCCGGCCCCACCGGCUGGCCGCAAGAGCAGAACUCAGGAAAGAAAAAGGAAAGUAAAUUGAAGGCUUAAGAAAAAGGCCAAUCUGUUGUCAACAGCUCUUAUGGAAAGGGAGAUUAGCAAUGUGAGAGGACGUGGAUGCGGACGUAGACGUGGAAAAAAGUCAAGUUAGGAAUGGAUUCAAGAGCCAGACAAGGUGGGCGCCUGUGAUCCCAGCUACUCGGGAGGCUGAGGCAGGGGAAUGGCGUGAACCCGGGAGGCGGAGUUUGCAGUGAGCCGAGAUCGCGCCACUGCACUCCAGCCUGGGAGACACAGCGAGACUCCGUCUCAAAAAAAAAAAAAAGAAAAGAAAAAGAAAAAGAAAGAGAUUAAUGUGCGCGAUGCAAAAAGAAAGGACACUGGAAGGAUGAGUGUUCAGAAGGCAAUGAGGGAAAUAGCCAAGACCACGAGACAAAGAGGCCAUCGGCCAAGGGCUGCCGCACCUUGGGGAACCAAAUACUGAUCUGAUCAGGCUGGCAGGAGCCGAAGGACGUAAGGAACAGGACAGACCGGGAACCUUCUCAUUAGGCACCCAGGGGCCCAUGGUCACAUUAGAAGUUAAAGGCAGCAGGAUUCUGCUGUAUCUGGAUUCCAAUUUCUCACUGAUGGCUAAGCCACUAGAUGGAGUUACAAAAGGGGAAGAAAAAGAACCCCUCCUCUGGGAAACAGCAGGAGAAGGAGCCCUGCCUGGUGAAAACUUGCUUAUAGACUUCACAGAACCUCCCCGUGCCGGAGGUUAUUGGUUCAUGCUAGUGCUUGUUUGCACCUUUUCAGGGUGUUAUGUCUUGGAUCCACCACAGUCGGCUAACACUGGCAGCUCAGGACAAGUGAACCAGCCAGCAGGACCCAGAUCAUCCAACCUGGCUGAUCCUUAGAUGAGACCGAGUUGCUGCUGAGGACAACAGCCCUGCUCUAGUCACUCUGGAGGCUGACUAGUCUACGCACGGCUGAAACUUGAGGACUUGUCAAGCAAGUAAUGUAGCUAAAAUCUUAAGACUAGUGGUUUUCGUGUACACUAACUGUUUUACUAUUGUUCUGUCGCUGUGCUCAACCUUUUUCCCAGGUAAGGACCUUUUUUGUCCUUGCUGGAUAUGAAUAUGCUGUACAUUGUUUUGUUGUUACCCCCCUUAACCAUGUAGAAGAAACACCUACAGAAGGUGUCCCCACUGUACACAUACUACUUGGUCAGGGAACAGUAUAACUAGAACCCUAUUGCACUAUACUUAUUAUGAGUGUACAGGGACUCGCUUAGGAACUUGUACUUAUAAUCAAACCACCUAUUCAACCUGUGACCCAGGAAAUGGCCAGCCUUAUAUAUGCUAUGACCCUAAGUGUUUACCUGGGACUUGGUUUGAGAUUCAUACCGAGUCAAAGGGAGGAAGUUUUGUAAGUUGAACCCAAGCCUCUCUUCCCGGGGGCGGGGGGUGGGGUGGCUAUAUCCAUAUACUUUGAUAUUUGUCAGUUAACAUCCAUGAACCAGAGAUUGUGAACUAUCUCACAAUCUCUGGUCCUACAGGGUACUAUACAAACUGCCAGUACAAAAUUGCAUGUGCACCCCGUUUGCCCCUCCGAGGCCCUAGCGAUAGCUUGCUGGAACCGCACAACGCAGUUCACUGACCGAUCAUCACCGAGGCUAAAGCCAAUCUUGCUCAUCAAAGUGCCAGCAAAACCGGAUUGUAAGACAAGCACUUGCAAUCCUGUAAAUCUUACUAUCUUAAAGCCAGAUCUACCUAUAUAGACUGCAGGUUACUCCAUGGCAUUACAAAGCUACAGUCAAAAAACUAAAAUAACUUUGUAUAUUCUAAAGAGGACUCAAACCAAGCGGUCAGCUCAGCAGCAAUUCCGAGUCUUUAAGUCAUUCUUUGAGCAUAUAAACCAAAAGUUACCAGAGCCUCCUCCUUUAGCCAAAAACCUAUUUGCUCAGCUGGCUAAAAACAUUGCAUGCAGCCUAGGCAUUUCCUCAUGUUAUGUUUGUAGAAGGACUAACAUGGGAGACUAAUAGCCUCAGGAAGCAAAAGAGUUAAUGCCUCAAGAUAACUUUACUCUGACUCUCUCUUUCCCCAAACAGACACGCACAAGUUCAAGCGUCUAGCUCUUAAAAACUUCUAUUAUUAGCAGAUACUGUGUUGCUCCCUAGGGAAAAGUUUUUACAGACCCAGUAGGAGAACUAACCUGCUUAAGACAGCAAUAUUAUAAUGAAACAUUAAGGAAAACUUUGUGGCAGGGCAGAGAUGACUACAAAGCACCUCAUCCAAAUCUGUUCUCCUGUUUCUCUUCUCUAAACCACACUUGGUAUCAACUUGAAGCUCCAAAUACUUGGCAAGCACCCCCCGUCUUUAUUGGAUCUGUAGGCUACAGGCAUAUUGACAGUUGCCAGUUAAAUGGACAGAGGUGUGCUUAGAACGAUUAGACCAUCUUUCUUCCUACUCCCACUGCAACAGGGAAAAACUUCAAGGUACCCUGUCUAUGAUGAAGUUAGAAGAAGAAACAAAAGAGAUGCAGACACAAAGAGGUAUAAAAAUAAGAGAUUGAAAAGGCACAAAUUAGCCCCCUGAAAAAAUAAUUCCAUACUAUAGGCCAGCUACCUGGGCACAAGAUAGGUCAUAGGGAGACCGCACUCCUAUCUACAUGCUUAACCGUAUCAUAAGAUUGCAGGCAGAACUUGAAAUCAUCACCAAUGAAACAACAAAUGCAUUAGAUGUACUGGCCCAGCAAACCACAACAUUGAGAAACGCUACCUAUCAGAACAGAUUAGCUUUAGACUACCUCCUAGCCCAGGAAGGAGGAGUAUGUGGAAAGUUCAGUCUAACUAAUUGUUGCCUGGACAUCGAUGACAGCGGAAAAGCAAUUAUAGAAAUAACUGCAAGAAUGAGAAAAUUAGCCAGUGUUCCAGUUCAAACUUAGAAAAGGUGAUCCCCAGAUUCUCUCUUUGGAGACUGGUUUUCAUUUUUUGGAGAGUUCAAGACUUUAAUAGGAGUAGUGCUGGCCACACUGGGAAGCUGCAUAAUACUCCAUUGUCUCUUACCUUUCCUUGUUAGAAGUAUUCAAUCAACUAUAGAGGCAAUAGUAGCCAGGCAAACUACAACUCAGCUAAUAGCUCUGUGUAAAUAUCAACCUUUGUCUAAAGAAGAAAACUUGUCUCUUCAGGCAGAACUAAGUAAUAGUGAUGCCUUUUAUUAAACUUAUUUCAUAAAAGGCAUCAAAGGGGAGAAACUGAGGCAGAAAUUUAAAUAAUAAUAAUAAUAAAUACUGCAUUUCUUCACUCCAAGAAAAGUAAAAGCUAAGGCCCAGAAUAUGGCAAGGCAAAGGCUAAAAAGAAAAGAACAAGUUUUCCUCUUGCCUAGCAGCUCACUUUAAGGAAAGUUAGAAGAUAACGCUGUCCAAAUAGCCAAGGCCAAAGGAAUGGGCUCCAGACACCCCCCUCCCUUCCAGAGCAAGCUUGAAAGAAAAAAAAGAAAGACAGGUUCUUUUACUGUUACUCUUUUCCCAGGCUUCUUAAGCAUGAUUAGCAUGAUUAUGUUUUACAAAUGUCUGUAUUUAGCCAGUUCUUAUUUUUCUUUUAAUGCAGCUACAAGGCCACUGGCUAGGUCACAAAUUAUGUUAUGCUAUAGAUUACGUGACCUGUUACUGUAUGAUUAACUGCUUUUAUUUUGCUACUGUUUUUAUUUUGCUUCUGUAAGACCGCUUAUAAAAACCCUGCUCUUUGUUCAGGGCUCAGCUUUCGGAUGUGAAUCCUCUGAGCCGGUGCGUACCUAAAAUAAACAAAUCCUCCUGUACUCUG